This 510-nucleotide ribosomal RNA is filed under the name uncultured bacterium. Its description in RNAcentral is "partial 16S ribosomal RNA". It matches the Rfam family "Bacterial small subunit ribosomal RNA", at positions 28 to 507 of the family's 1533-position model. The record is from RNAcentral.
GACGAACGCUGGCGGAGUGCUUAACACAUGCAAGUCGAACGAAGAGCGACGGAAGCUUGCUUCUAUCAAUCUUAGUGGCGAACGGGUGAGUAACGCGUAAUCAACCUGCCCUUCAGAGGGGGACAACAGUUGGAAACGACUGCUAAUACCGCAUACGAUCUAAUCUCGGCAUCGAGGAUGGAUGAAAGGUGGCCUCUACAUGUAAGCUAUCACUGAAGGAGGGGAUUGCGUCUGAUUAGCUAGUUGGAGGGGUAACGGCCCACCAAGGCGAUGAUCAGUAGCCGGUCUGAGAGGAUGAACGGCCACAUUGGGACUGAGACACGGCCCAGACUCCUACGGGAGGCAGCAGUGGGGAAUCUUCCGCAAUGGACGAAAGUCUGACGGAGCAACGCCGCGUGAGUGAUGACGGCCUUCGGGUUGUAAAGCUCUGUUAAUCGGGACGAAAGGCCUUCUUGCGAAUAGUGAGAAGGAUUGACGGUACCGGAAUAGAAAGCCACGGCUAACUACGUG